UGUGCUGCAGUGAUGGUUCUGACUUUGAGUCAGACACAGUACACCAGCCUACUAAAAGAGUAGCAGCUCAAGGUUCUUCAGUAGCUCCAACAGCCAUUUCAUCAUUGAAGCGCAGCACACAAUAAAGCGUUGUCUGGAAGCUAAAGCUGGAGAAUGCAAAAGAAAAAAUUAAGUCCUUGGAGAAUGAAAGGGACUUCUUAAGGAACCAACUGUCUGAGGCUUUGGCGCUUGCAAAUAAAGAGGCCCAAGUGACAGCAGCGCCCUCCUUGCACGAAAAGAGGAUUGAAAAAUCUUCUUCAUCUUCCUCCUCCACCUCCGCCUCCUCCUCAUCCUCCUCCGACAGUUCCUCCUCUUCCUCACCAUCUUCUUCAGAAAGAGGGAAGAAGAAGAAGAGGAACAACAACAGCAAAAACAAAAAAGACAGCAAGAAAAAA
Gadus macrocephalus (Pacific cod) is the source of this 434-nucleotide long non-coding RNA. RefSeq lists it as uncharacterized. Lineage: Eukaryota; Metazoa; Chordata; Actinopteri; Gadiformes; Gadidae. The record is from RefSeq and is a predicted model, not a curated record. The transcript is spliced from 3 exons.